This 251-nucleotide long non-coding RNA is filed under the name Phoenix dactylifera (date palm). RNAcentral's name for it is "long non-coding RNA (PDAC_LNC013334)". Lineage: Eukaryota; Viridiplantae; Streptophyta; Magnoliopsida; Arecales; Arecaceae. The record is from RNAcentral.
UUAUAUUAUUGACAUACUACAACAAGCUUCUUUCCACAGAUAAAAUUAUUUAGAGAGGGCAGCCAUAGCUUUGGACAGCGACCAGCUGUCGUGAGCAAGAUAACUAUGAAUUCAGGUACAAUACAAAUCUGCAAGACACCUCUGCAUCUGAAUUAUCUUCAACUAUGAGGCCAUCAUAUAUGUAAAAUGUAAUUAUCUUCAAUAUUUUUGCAGCUGAAUGGUGGAUUCAUUUUGGCGGAUCCGCAAAAAAU